CGGGAAACUGGGGAUAAUACCGGAUAUAUGGAGAUGCCUGGAAUGGUACUCCACUUAAAGCUCCGGCGCCUAAGGAUGGAUCUGCGGCAGAUUAGGUCGUUGGUGGGGUAAUGGCCCACCAAGCCUAUAAUCUGUACGGGUUGUGAGAGCAAGAGCCCGGAGAUGGAACCUGAGACAAGGGUCCAGGCCCUACGGGGCGCAGCAGGCGCGGAAACCUCGCAAAGCCGAGCAAUCGCGACGGGGGGACCCCAAGUGCCACUCUUAACGGGGUGGCUUUUCUUAAGUGUAAAAAGCUUUUGGAAGAAGGGCUGGGCAAGACCGGUGCCAGCCGCCGCGGUAACA
Molecule: ribosomal RNA, 342 nt
Filed under: uncultured archaeon
Lineage: Archaea
Description: partial 16S ribosomal RNA
Rfam family: Archaeal small subunit ribosomal RNA
Source: RNAcentral